CAGCAGCCGCGGUAACACGAAGGGGGCUAGCGUUGUUCGGAUUUACUGGGCGUAAAGGGUGCGUAGGCGGACUGAUAAGUCAGGGGCGAAAUCCCAAGGCUCAACCUUGGAACUGCCUUUGAUACUGUUAGUCUUGAGUUCGAGAGAGGUGAGUGGAACUGCGAGUGUAGAGGUGAAAUUCGUAGAUAUUCGCAAGAACACCAGUGGCGAAGGCGGCUCACUGGCUCGAAACUGACGCUGAGGCACGAAAGCGUGGGGAGCAAACAGGAUUAGAUACCCCCGUAGUCCCUGUCUCUUAUAC
Molecule: ribosomal RNA, 301 nt
Filed under: uncultured bacterium
Lineage: Bacteria
Description: partial 16S ribosomal RNA
Rfam family: Bacterial small subunit ribosomal RNA
Source: RNAcentral